RNAcentral lists this ribosomal RNA (708 nucleotides) under Diaporthe ravennica. RNAcentral describes it as "SSU rRNA". It matches the Rfam family "Eukaryotic small subunit ribosomal RNA", at positions 79 to 798 of the family's 1831-position model. Lineage: Eukaryota; Fungi; Ascomycota; Sordariomycetes; Diaporthales; Diaporthaceae. The record is from RNAcentral.
CGGCGAAACUGCGAAUGGCUCAUUAAAUCAGUUAUCGUAUAUUUGAUAGUACCUACUACAUGGAUAACCGUGGUAAUUCUAGAGCUAAUACAUGCUUAAAAUCCCGACUUCGGAAGGGAUGUAUUUAUUAGAUUAAAAACCAAUGCCCUUCGGGGCUCACUGGUGAUUCAUAAUAACUUCUCGAAUCGCAUGGCCUUGUGCCGGCGAUGGUUCAUUCAAAUUUCUGCCCUAUCAACUUUCGACGGCUGGGUCUUGGCCAGCCGUGGUUACAACGGGUAACGGAGGGUUAGGGCUUGACCCCGGAGAAGGAGCCUGAGAGACGGCUACUACAUCCAAGGAAGGCAGCAGGCGCGCAAAUUACCCAAUCCCGACUCGGGGAGGUAGUGACAAUAAAUACUGAUACAGGGCUCUUUUGGGUCUUGUAAUUGGAAUGAGUACAAUUUAAAUCCCUUAACGAGGAACAAUUGGAGGGCAAGUCUGGUGCCAGCAGCCGCGGUAAUUCCAGCUCCAAUAGCGUAUAUUAAAGUUGUUGCAGUUAAAAAGCUCGUAGUUGAACCUUGGGCCUGGCUGGCCGGUCUGCCUCACCGCAUGCACUGGUCCGGCCGGGCCUUUCCCUCUGGGGAGCCGCAUGCCCUUCACUGGGUGUGUCGGGGAACCAGGACUUUUACUGUGAAAAAAUUAUAGUGUUCAAAGCAGGCAUAUGCUCGA